This 792-nucleotide ribosomal RNA is filed under the name Pseudoalteromonas rubra. Its description in RNAcentral is "bacterial LSU rRNA". It matches the Rfam family "Bacterial large subunit ribosomal RNA", at positions 1 to 847 of the family's 2925-position model. Lineage: Bacteria; Pseudomonadati; Pseudomonadota; Gammaproteobacteria; Alteromonadales; Pseudoalteromonadaceae. The record is from RNAcentral.
GUUGUAUGGUUAAGUGACUAAGCGUACACGGUGGAUGCCUUGGCAGUUGGAGGCGAUGAAGGACGUACUAACUUGCGAUAAGCCUAGUUGAGCCAGUAAGAGGCGCUUGAGACUAGGAUUUCCGAAUGGGGAAACCCGGCCCUUUGGGUCAUCAUGCAGUGAAUACAUAGCUGUAUGAAGCGAACGCGGAGAACUGAAACAUCUAAGUACCCGUAGGAAAAGAAAUCAACCGAGAUUCCGAAAGUAGCGGCGAGCGAAAUCGGAUUAGCCCUUAAGCUUUAAUGUAGUUAGUGGAACAUUCUGGAAAGUAUGACGAUACAGGGUGACAGUCCCGUACACGACAACUUAUUUAAAGUGAAAUCGAGUAGGUCGGAGCACGUGAAACUUUGACUGAAUAUGGGGGGACCAUCCUCCAAGGCUAAAUACUCCCAACUGACGAUAGUGAACCAGUACCGUGAGGGAAAGGCGAAAAGAACCCCUGUGAGGGGAGUGAAAUAGAACCUGAAACCGUGUACGUACAAGCAGUAGGAGCCCCUCGAGGGUGACUGCGUACCUUUUGUAUAAUGGGUCAGCGACUUAUAUUCUGUAGCAAGGUUAACCAUUAGGGAGCCGUAGCGAAAGCGAGUCUUAACUGGGCGCUUAAGUUGCAGGGUAUAGACCCGAAACCCGGUGAUCUAGCCAUGGGCAGGUUGAAGGUCAGGUAACACUGACUGGAGGACCGAACCCACUAACGUUGAAAAGUUAGGGGAUGACCUGUGGCUAGGAGUGAAAGGCUAAUCAAACCGGGAGAUA